RNAcentral lists this ribosomal RNA (146 nucleotides) under Lysobacter daejeonensis GH1-9. RNAcentral describes it as "partial 16S ribosomal RNA". It matches the Rfam family "Bacterial small subunit ribosomal RNA", at positions 1390 to 1533 of the family's 1533-position model. Lineage: Bacteria; Pseudomonadati; Pseudomonadota; Gammaproteobacteria; Lysobacterales; Lysobacteraceae. The record is from RNAcentral.
CCGCCCGUCACACCAUGGGAGUGGGUUGCUCCAGAAGUAGCUAGUCUAACCGCAAGGGGGACGGUUACCACGGAGUGAUUCAUGACUGGGGUGAAGUCGUAACAAGGUAGCCGUAUCGGAAGGUGCGGCUGGAUCACCUCCUUUAG